AGCCUGACGCAGCGACGCCGCGUGGGGGAUGAAGGCCUUCGGGGUGUAAACCCCUUUCGACCCGGACGAAUAGCCCGCAAGGGAAUUGACGGUACCGGUAGAAGAAGCCCCGGCUAACUACGUGCCAGCAGCCGCGGUAAAACGUAGGGGGCCAGCGUUGCUCGGAAUUACUGGGCGUAAAGGGUUCGUAGGCGGUGCGGCAAGUCGGGAGUGAAAUCUCGCGGCUCAACUGUGAGGCUGCUUCCGAAACUGCUGUGCUCGAGUGCGGGAGAGGCGAGUGGAAUUGCAGGUGUAGCGGUGAAAUGCGUAGAUAUCUGCAGGAACACCCGUGGCGAAGGCGGCUCGCUGGACCGCAACUGACGCUGAGGAACGAAAGCUAGGGGAGCAAACAGGAUUAGA
This 399-nucleotide ribosomal RNA is filed under the name uncultured soil bacterium. Its description in RNAcentral is "bacterial SSU rRNA". It matches the Rfam family "Bacterial small subunit ribosomal RNA", at positions 380 to 782 of the family's 1533-position model. The record is from RNAcentral.